Molecule: RNA transcript, 1568 nt
Organism: Lagenorhynchus albirostris (white-beaked dolphin)
Lineage: Eukaryota; Metazoa; Chordata; Mammalia; Artiodactyla; Delphinidae
Gene: C16H10orf143
Gene name: chromosome 16 C10orf143 homolog
Exons: 2
Source: RefSeq, a predicted model, not a curated record
AAAAGAGUCGCUCGUCUUCUCCCCGCCCCUCCCCCCAGUCCCAGUGUCUCUCCCGAGAGGCCCGUCUUCUCUGCAGCCUUGCCUGCUGACCUGUCCCCUCCUCUACCUCUCCCGCGGCCCCUCCAUAGAGCCUCCACGCUCUGUCUGGCCUCUUCCCCGCCUCCCCACCGGGGGCCCUGCUGCUCAGGGGCUCCUGACAAGAGUUUCCGGCCAGAGGAGUUCGGGAAAUGCUGCAUCCUUUCCCCACCUUUGGAGGUGUGAUGUACAUUAGACUGUUGGUCCCGAGAAUCAAGUGAAGAGAUGGGUUUGAUUUUGCUCAGCCUAGUAUUUCUAGAACGUCCUUUUGUCAAGGGACGCCUGUUAUACAUGUGCUUCUGAGACUGUUUUGGAAAACACAGGUCCAUUGAACAAAUCCAGCCUCUGUAUUCAUCGUGGUCUUCAGGACCUUUUGCAGCCUGGCCCAGCCUGACCUCCCCUGACCUUCCAGGCAGAUCUCCCGUCCCUGUCUCUGUGCACCAUGAACCCUGGCUUCGGUCACACAGGCAGCUGCUCUGGUUCUGGAACACUCUGACCUGCCGUUCUCACUGCCUGGGGUGCCAUCUCCCAUCUUGUAAGGUUCUGCUGUGCCUCCACGGUCCAUGUGUGUGAAGCCUUCCCCACCCCUCGUCAGGUUCAUCAGCCACAGCAUCCCGUUCCAGUCACCCCAGUGAGCCAUCCGUGUGAAACGGGUGUUCACGAGCUUGGGUGCUGCUUCCCUUGCCGACCGCAAGUCCUCAGUCUCUCUUGUUGGGUCCCCGUGGCUCAGGGCAGCACCCGCCUUCCAGGAAACAGGAUGCCAUCGUGGACCGGACUGCUCUGUCCCCCCACCGCCUGGCCCACCACUCCCUUCCUGGCCUCAGCCAGCGCAGCGAGCCUUCUGCCACAACGGCGCAGCCUUGGAGUGCAGGGGUGCCCUGCCAGCCUCUGCCCAGGGGCCACGGAGCCACACUGCUCUUUGCCGGGACAGUGGCAAGUGUGAUAAAGGUUUUUGGAUGCUGGACAAGACCUCUCAUUUCAUGGUGGCACAGUGUCUGGCCACGGGUCUGCCCCCAGCCGUCCGGUGCUCCUAGUGACUUCUGCGGGCGAAGGGACAUUUUAACCAUCUGGAGAGUUGGUAGAAGAUGCAAGCUGAAAACGGAAGAUUCCAGUUGUGGUUUUGAACCCUCACGUGCCAGCGAAUGUAAACCUCUCCUGGGUGGAUGUGUGUGCCCACCUGUUCAAAUAGCGCCCGGUACCCUCCCGUCAGGAAAUCCCACGUCCUCCUCCGCUCCAGAGCCAGAAGAGCCUCCAAAUGUUACUCCUCAUGAAGCCUCCUUUCAAAUGCAUCUUGCUUGAGAAGAAGAUCAAUUGCUUUAUUUAAAAGUUUAAAAACUUCAGUAUCAAACUUCCCGUGAGGUUUGAGAGCCCUGUAGCUUACGGAGCCAUAUCCAGAUGUCGCCCCACUUUAUACUUUUCUGUUGUUUUGUGGAUGUAUCCAGAGCUGCUUAUGUACUCUUUUUUAAUUAAAAGUCUUAUUUUUAUAUUGAAAA